GACGGAAGGUGCAAGCGUUGCUCGGAAUCACUGGGCUUAAAGGGCGCGUAGGCGGGUGCUCAAGUCCGGGGUGAAAUCCUCCAGCUCAACUGGAGAACUGCCUCGGAUACUGGGUGCCUCGAGGGUGGUAGGGGUAUGCGGAACUAUCGGUGGAGCGGUGAAAUGCGUUGAUAUCGAUAGGAACUCCGGUGGCGAAGGCGGCAUACUGGACCACAUCUGACGCUGAGGCGCGAAAGCCAGGGGAGCAAACGGG
RNAcentral lists this ribosomal RNA (253 nucleotides) under uncultured bacterium. RNAcentral's name for it is "partial 16S ribosomal RNA". It matches the Rfam family "Bacterial small subunit ribosomal RNA", at positions 524 to 776 of the family's 1533-position model. The record is from RNAcentral.